This 407-nucleotide ribosomal RNA is filed under the name uncultured bacterium. RNAcentral's name for it is "partial 16S ribosomal RNA". It matches the Rfam family "Bacterial small subunit ribosomal RNA", at positions 30 to 526 of the family's 1533-position model. The record is from RNAcentral.
AUUGAACGCUGGCGGCAGGCCUAACACAUGCAAGUCGAGCGGAGCGGCGGACGGGUGAGUAAUGCCUAGGAAUCUGCCUGGUAGUGGUGGAUAACGUCCGGAAACGGGAGCUAAUACCGCAUCCUCUCAGAUGAGCCUAGGUCUGAUUAGCUAGUUGGUGGUGUAAAGGCCUACCACGGCGACGAUCCGUAACUGGUCUGAGAGGAUGAUUAGUCACACGGGAACUGAGACACGGUCCAGACUCCCACGGGAGGCAGCAGUGGGGAAUAUUGGACAAUGGGCGAAAGCCUGCGCCAGCCAUGCCGCGUGUGUGAAGAAGGUCUUCGGGUUGUAAAGCACUUUAAGUUGGGAGGCGUUACCAACAGAAUAAGCACCGGCUAACUUCGUGCCAGCCGCCGCGGUAAUAC